AAGAGUGUAAAAACUCCCAAACCCAUGUGAACCUACCACUGUUGCCUCGGUGGGCUGUCCUGCGCGGCCUGCCGACGGACUUCAAAAACUCUUUUUCAUUUAUGAAUCUCUGAGUACAACUUUUAAAUAAGUAA
This 134-nucleotide unclassified non-coding RNA is filed under the name uncultured Orbiliaceae. RNAcentral describes it as "sequence contains ITS1". The record is from RNAcentral. Lineage: Eukaryota; Fungi; Ascomycota; Orbiliomycetes; Orbiliales.